Molecule: ribosomal RNA, 253 nt
Filed under: uncultured bacterium
Lineage: Bacteria
Description: partial 16S ribosomal RNA
Rfam family: Bacterial small subunit ribosomal RNA
Source: RNAcentral
UACAGAGGUCUCAAGCGUUGUUCGGAUUCAUUGGGCGUAAAGGGUGCGUAGGCGGCGCGGUAAGUCGGGUGUGAAAUCUCGGAGCUUAACUCCGAAACUGCAUUCGAUACUGCCGUGCUUGAGGACUGGAGAGGAGACUGGAAUUUACGGUGUAGCGGUGAAAUGCGUAGAUAUCGGGAGGAACACCGGUGGCGAAGGCAGGUCUCUGGGCCACUACUGACGCUGAGAAGCGAAAGCAUGGGGAGCGAACAGG